This 253-nucleotide ribosomal RNA is filed under the name uncultured bacterium. RNAcentral's name for it is "partial 16S ribosomal RNA". It matches the Rfam family "Bacterial small subunit ribosomal RNA", at positions 524 to 776 of the family's 1533-position model. The record is from RNAcentral.
UACAGAGGGUGCGAGCGUUAAUCGGAAUUACUGGGCGUAAAGGGCGCGUAGGCGGCCUGCUAAGUCGGACGUGAAAUCCCUCGGCUCAACCGGGGAACUGCGUCCGAUACUGGUGGGCUCGAAUCCGGGAGAGGGAUGUGGAAUUCCAGGUGUAGCGGUGAAAUGCGUAGAUAUCUGGAGGAACACCGGUGGCGAAGGCGGCAUCCUGGACCGGUAUUGACGCUGAUGCGCGAAAGCCAGGGGAGCAAACGGG